GGGCAAGAGACUACGACAUUUCUUGUGGAAUCAUAAAUCACAUCGUGAGUGUGGUCUAGGACUAAUGAACAAUUCACCUGUGGUCCUCCAUCCUGGCACCUAAGAGGUUUUGUGAUCCUGUAUAUCCCGGUAUGUGUAAGGCCAUGGACAAAACCAGUACUGGUUCCCUUGAAGAACUCUGUGGGUAAAAGCACUGGAUACUUCCACAUGCAAGGCCAUUAUUUGCAGUCUUCUGGGCCAGCUUUGAAUCAGAUCUGCCAUUCUUGGCAAACUGAAAUGUUAAAAUCCCUUUGAUAUUCAACCAUGUUUUUGCCAGGCUGCAUGAAAUAAUUUACACUGGAUGCCCUGAUAACAACUGUCUGCUGAGUACUGGGAUGUCCUCAUAAAACAGGAAGAGUGCCAUAGCUGGAGAAAUUUCAGGUAAUCACAGUUUCUAGAUGGGAAGAUAUAAAAUUGAAUAUUGUACAGUGUUGUAAUUUAUCUGACAAAAAAAAAUCCACCACCUCUUUAAAUAUAUAAGAUGAAAAAAGCUUUGAGAUGCAAUAACUAAAAUACAGC
Molecule: long non-coding RNA, 558 nt
Filed under: Anser brachyrhynchus (Pink-footed goose)
Lineage: Eukaryota; Metazoa; Chordata; Aves; Anseriformes; Anatidae
Description: lncRNA (ENSABRG00000012642.1)
Source: RNAcentral